UGCACCCAGACUUGAGUGAGGCGGUUCCCCCUUCCUUUUGGUUGGGUUACUCCGUCUCAUCCAGGCCAACAUCAGUUUACGGGGCCGGUUAAAGGCGUGAGGAAUGUAUCUACCUCCGGGUCGACUUAUAGCCUCGCGUGUCAUGCGGCCCCCGUGGACUGAGGAACGCGCUUCGGCUCGGAUGUUGGCGUAAUGG
RNAcentral lists this ribosomal RNA (196 nucleotides) under Chaetothyriales sp. Its description in RNAcentral is "partial large subunit ribosomal RNA". The record is from RNAcentral. Lineage: Eukaryota; Fungi; Ascomycota; Eurotiomycetes; Chaetothyriales.